RNAcentral lists this long non-coding RNA (723 nucleotides) under Ananas comosus (pineapple). RNAcentral describes it as "long non-coding RNA (ACOM_LNC020848)". The record is from RNAcentral. Lineage: Eukaryota; Viridiplantae; Streptophyta; Magnoliopsida; Poales; Bromeliaceae.
UUAAUCUAAUCCUUAGGGUGCGUUUGGUUCGCAUUAUGAAAGAUUACUAAGAAUAAAAGAUAUCCGAAAAUUUUAUUCCUAUUCAUUCUAUUACUAAGAAUAUGAAAUUCCUGUGUUUGAUUCGCACGGUAACAUUAAUAAGCCAUAUUAUUUAAUAUUACAAAAAAUAUACAAUUUAUUUAUUUAUUUAAUUUUAAACAAUGUUACCAAAUGUUUCAAUAUCUUUUUAGAAAAAAGGGAGAGAGUAUAAGUUAGAGAGAGAGAGCAUAAUUAAAAAAAUAGAAAGAAAAAUAUAGUCGAAAUUAGAGGGAGUAGGAGAGUUGAAAUUUUAGAAAGAGAAAGAGAGAGAGAGAGAGAGAGAGAAAGCUUAGUUUAGAGAGAGAAAAAAAAAUUGAAUUUUAGAGAGAAAAAUAAAUUUAGAAAGAGAUAUAAGGUUAGAGUGUAAAGAAAAAUAGUAUCAAUUAACCGGCGGGUAGGAAAAAAUAAAGUGAUUAGACAUAUUAUGAUUAUCCCAAUCCAUUAAUAUGAGGAUACCCACCAUCCCUUAAGGGAAUGAGAUUAGUACUUUGGGGUGAAUCUUAUUCCCAAGUGAAUCCAAUAUUACCAACUAGAUUACUUAGUGCAUUUAGCAAACCACCGUCAUAUUUUUUUAUUCCUAUUAGAUUACUAAGAAUCUUUAAAAGAUAUCACGAACCAAACGCACCCUUAAUGUUUUCGUUUGUU